RNAcentral lists this ribosomal RNA (486 nucleotides) under uncultured bacterium. RNAcentral's name for it is "partial 16S ribosomal RNA". It matches the Rfam family "Bacterial small subunit ribosomal RNA", at positions 30 to 507 of the family's 1533-position model. The record is from RNAcentral.
AUUGAACGCUGGCGACAUGCCUUACACAUGCAAGUCGAACGGCAGCACGGGUGCUUGCACCUGGUGGCGAGUGGCGAACGGGUGAGUAAUACAUCGGAACAUGUCCUGUAGUGGGGGAUAGCCCGGCGAAAGCCGGAUUAAUACCGCAUACGAUCUACGGAUGAAAGCGGGGGACCUUCGGGCCUCGCGCUAUAGGGUUGGCCGAUGGCUGAUUAGCUAGUUGGUGGGGUAAAGGCCUACCAAGGCGACGAUCAGUAGCUGGUCUGAGAGGACGACCAGUCACACGGGGACUGAGACACGGCCCAGACUCCUACGGGAGGCAGCAGUGGGGAAUUUUGGACAAUGGGCGAAAGCCUGAUCCAGCAAUGCCGCGUGUGUGAAGAAGGCCUUCGGGUUGUAAAGCACUUUUGUCCGGAAAGAAAACCUUGGCCCUAAUACGGUCGGGGGAUGACGGUACCGGAAGAAUAAGCACCGGCUAACUACGUG